Long non-coding RNA from Pipistrellus kuhlii (Kuhl's pipistrelle), 287 nucleotides. RefSeq lists it as uncharacterized. The record is from RefSeq and is a predicted model, not a curated record. The transcript is spliced from 3 exons. Lineage: Eukaryota; Metazoa; Chordata; Mammalia; Chiroptera; Vespertilionidae.
UUUAUUAUAUAGGAGAGUAACCUACUACUAUCCACCAAUGUUGCUUAGAUACCACCUACUGAGAUGACAAUCUUAACUGUGGUCUCCAUCCCUUCCCGUGUUUCUGACUCACUUCCAUCACACUAGGGGGAAGAGGAAACUUCUCACCUGACUCCUAAGAAAACACAUUGAUUCCUGACCUCUGUUUGUUUAGCCCUUUAUAUUGACCUUUCAUAUCACAGAGCCUUACCUUCUUUUCUGAGGGUGGUCUACCUGCUGGGACCCUUAAAUGCAAACCCAUUCUUUGG